UACGGGGGGGGCAAGCGUUGUUCGGAAUUACUGGGCGUAAAGGGCGCGUAGGCGGCCUGUUAAGUCACACGUGAAAUCCCUCGGCUCAACCGGGGAACUGCGUGUGAUACUGACGGGCUUGAAUUCGGGAGAGGGAUGUGGAAUUCCAGGUGUAGCGGUGAAAUGCGUAGAUAUCGGGAGGAACCCCAGGGGCGAAGGCGGCUCUCUGGGCCUUUCCUGACGCUGAGACGCGAAAGCGUGGGGAGCGAACCGG
RNAcentral lists this ribosomal RNA (253 nucleotides) under uncultured bacterium. Its description in RNAcentral is "partial 16S ribosomal RNA". It matches the Rfam family "Bacterial small subunit ribosomal RNA", at positions 524 to 776 of the family's 1533-position model. The record is from RNAcentral.